AAUGGUAGGAGAGCGUUCUAAGGGCGUUGAAGCAUGAUCGUAAGGACAUGUGGAGCGCUUAGAAGUGAGAAUGCCGGUGUGAGUAGCGAAAGACGGGUGAGAAUCCCGUCCACCGAUUGACUAAGGUUUCCAGAGGAAGGCUCGUCCGCUCUGGGUUAGUCGGGUCCUAAGCUGAGGCCGACAGGCGUAGGCGAUGGAUAACAGGUUGAUAUUCCUGUACCACCUAUAAUCGUUUUAAUCGAUGGGGGGACGCAGUAGGAUAGGCGAAGCGUGCGAUUGGAUUGCACGUCUAAGCAGUAAGGCUGAGUAUUAGGCAAAUCCGGUACUCGUUAAGGCUGAGCUGUGAUGGGGAGAAGACAUUGUGUCUUCGAGUCGUUGAUUUCACACUGCCGAGAAAAGCCUCUAGAUAGAAAAUAGGUGCCCGUACCGCAAACCGACACAGGUAGUCAAGAUGAGAAUUCUAAGGUGAGCGAGCGAACUCUCGUUAAGGAACUCGGCAAAAUGACCCCGUAACUUCGGGAGAAGGGGUGCUCUUUAGGGUUAACGCCCAGAAGAGCCGCAGUGAAUAGGCCCAAGCGACUGUUUAUCAAAAACACAGGUCUCUGCUAAACCGUAAGGUGAUGUAUAGGGGCUGACGCCUGCCCGGUGCUGGAAGGUUAAGAGGAGUGGUUAGCUUCUGCGAAGCUACGAAUCGAAGCCCCAGUAAACGGCGGCCGUAACUAUAACGGUCCUAAGGUAGCGAAAUUCCUUGUCGGGUAAGUUCCGACCCGCACGAAAGGCGUAACGAUUUGGGCACUGUCUCAACGAGAGACUCGGUGAAAUCAUAGUACCUGUGAAGAUGCAGGUUACCCGCGACAGGACGGAAAGACCCCGUGGAGCUUUACUGUAGCCUGAUAUUGAAAUUCGGCACAGCUUGUACAGGAUAGGUAGGAGCCUUUGAAACGUGAGCGCUAGCUUACGUGGAGGCGCUGGUGGGAUACUACCCUAGCUGUGUUGGCUUUCUAACCCGCACCACUUAUCGUGGUGGGAGACAGUGUCAGGCGGGCAGUUUGACUGGGGCGGUCGCCUCCUAAAAGG
This 1077-nucleotide ribosomal RNA is filed under the name Staphylococcus aureus. Its description in RNAcentral is "partial 23S ribosomal RNA". It matches the Rfam family "Bacterial large subunit ribosomal RNA", at positions 1224 to 2297 of the family's 2925-position model. The record is from RNAcentral. Lineage: Bacteria; Bacillati; Bacillota; Bacilli; Caryophanales; Staphylococcaceae.